This 443-nucleotide ribosomal RNA is filed under the name uncultured soil bacterium. Its description in RNAcentral is "bacterial SSU rRNA". It matches the Rfam family "Bacterial small subunit ribosomal RNA", at positions 26 to 478 of the family's 1533-position model. The record is from RNAcentral.
AGAUUGAACGCUGGCGGCAUGCCUUACACAUGCAAGUCGAACGGUAGAGUAGCAAUACUUGAGAGUGGCGAACGGGUGAGUAAUAUAUCGGAACGUGCCCAGUCGUGGGGGAUAACGUAGAGAAAUUUACGCUAAUACCGCAUACGAUCUAAGGAUGAAAGCGGGGGACCGUAAGGCCUCGCGCGAUUGGAGCGGCUGAUAUCAGAUUAGGUUGUUGGUGAGGUAAAAGCUCACCAAGCCGACGAUCUGUAGCUGGUUUGAGAGAACGACCAGCCACACUGGGACUGAGACACGGCCCAGACUCCUACGGGAGGCAGCAGUGGGGAAUUUGGACAAUGGGCGAAAGCCUGAUCCAGCAAUGCCGCGUGCAGGAACGAAGGCCUUAGGGUUGUAAACUGUCUUUUGUAACGGAACGAAAGGUCUAGCCCUAAGUACGGCGGCCC